Molecule: transfer RNA, 75 nt
Filed under: Streptococcus oralis
Lineage: Bacteria; Bacillati; Bacillota; Bacilli; Lactobacillales; Streptococcaceae
Description: tRNA-Gly
Rfam family: tRNA
About the family: Transfer RNA (tRNA) molecules are approximately 80 nucleotides in length. Their secondary structure includes four short double-helical elements and three loops (D, anti-codon, and T loops).
Source: RNAcentral
GCGAACGUAGUUCAGUGGUAGAACACCCACCUUGCCAAGGGUGGGGGUCGCGGGGUUCGAAUCCCGUCGUUCGCU